Molecule: ribosomal RNA, 513 nt
Filed under: uncultured bacterium
Lineage: Bacteria
Description: partial 16S ribosomal RNA
Rfam family: Bacterial small subunit ribosomal RNA
Source: RNAcentral
GACGAACGCUGGCGGCGUGCCUAAUACAUGCAAGUUGAGCGCUGAAGGUUGGUACUUGUACCAACUGGAUGAGCAGCGAACGGGUGAGUAACGCGUGGGGAAUCUGCCUUUGAGCGGGGGACAACAUUUGGAAACGAAUGCUAAUACCGCAUAAAAACUUUAAACACAAGUUUUAAGUUUGAAAGAUGCAAUUGCAUCACUCAAAGAUGAUCCCGCGUUGUAUUAGCUAGUUGGUGAGGUAAAGGCUCACCAAGGCGAUGAUACAUAUCCGACCUGAGAGGGUGAUCGGCAACAUUGGCACUGAGACACGGCCCAAACUACUACGGGAGACAGAAGAAGGGAAUCUUCGGCAAUGGGCGAAAGUCUGACCGAGCAACGCCGCGUGAGUGAAGAAGGUUUUCGGAUCGUAAAACUCUGUUGGUAGAGAAGAACGUUGGUGAGAGUGAAAAGCUCAUCAAGUGACGGUAACUACCCAGAAAGGGACGGCUAACUACGUGCCAGCAGCCGCCGUAA